GACGAACGCUGGCGGCGUGCUUAACACAUGCAAGUCGAACGGAAAGGCCCUGCUUUUGUGGGGUGCUCGAGUGGCGAACGGGUGAGUAACACGUGAGUAACCUGCCCUUGACUUUGGGAUAACUUCAGGAAACUGGGGCUAAUACCGGAUAGGAGCUCCUGCUGCAUGGUGGGGGUUGGAAAGUUUCGGCGGUUGGGGAUGGACUCGCGGCUUAUCAGCUUGUUGGUGGGGUAGUGGCUUACCAAGGCUUUGACGGGUAGCCGGCCUGAGAGGGUGACCGGCCACAUUGGGACUGAGAUACGGCCCAGACUCCUACGGGAGGCAGCAGUGGGGAAUAUUGCACAAUGGGCGGAAGCCUGAUGCAGCAACGCCGCGUGCGGGAUGACGGCCUUCGGGUUGUAAACCGCUUUCGCCUGUGACGAAGCGUGAGUGACGGUAAUGGGUAAAGAAGCACCGGCUAACUACGUGCCAGCAGCCGCGGUGAUACGUAGGGUGCGAGCGUUGUCCGGAUUUAUUGGGCGUAAAGGGCUCGUAGGUGGUUGAUCGCGUCGGAAGUGUAAUCUUGGGGCUUAACCCUGAGCGUGCUUUCGAUACGGGUUGACUUGAGGAAGGUAGGGGAGAAUGGAAUUCCUGGUGGAGCGGUGGAAUGCGCAGAUAUCAGGAGGAACACCAGUGGCGAAGGCGGUUCUCUGGGCCUUUCCUGACGCUGAGGAGCGAAAGCGUGGGGAGCGAACAGGCUUAGAUACCCUGGUAGUCCACGCUGUAAACGGUGGGUACUAGGUGUGGGGUCCAUUCCACGGGUUCCGUGCCGUAGCUAACGCUUUAAGUACCCCGCCUGGGGAGUACGGCCGCAAGGCUAAAACUCAAAGGAAUUGACGGGGCCCCGCACAAGCGGCGGAGCAUGCGGAUUAAUUCGAUGCAACGCGUAGAACCUUACCUGGGUUUGACAUGGAUCGGGAGCGCUCAGAGAUGGGUGUGCCUCUUUUGGGGUCGGUUCACAGGUGGUGCAUGGCUGUCGUCAGCUCGUGUCGUGAGAUGUUGGGUUAAGUCCCGCAACGAGCGCAACCCUUGUUCACUGUUGCCAGCACGUUAUGGUGGGGACUCAGUGGAGACCGCCGGGGUCAACUCGGAGGAAGGUGGGGAUGACGUCAAGUCAUCGUGCCCCUUAUGUCCAGGGCUUCACGCAUGCUACAAUGGCUGGUACAGAGAGUGGCGAGCCUGUGAGGGUGAGCGAAUCUCGGAAAGCCGGUCUCAGUUCGGAUUGGGGUCUGCAACUCGACCUCAUGAAGUCGGAGUCGCUAGUAAUCGCAGAUCAGCAACGCUGCGGUGAAUACGUUCCCGGG
RNAcentral lists this ribosomal RNA (1343 nucleotides) under uncultured bacterium. RNAcentral's name for it is "16S ribosomal RNA". It matches the Rfam family "Bacterial small subunit ribosomal RNA", at positions 28 to 1378 of the family's 1533-position model. The record is from RNAcentral.